RNAcentral lists this ribosomal RNA (440 nucleotides) under uncultured bacterium. RNAcentral's name for it is "partial 16S ribosomal RNA". It matches the Rfam family "Bacterial small subunit ribosomal RNA", at positions 338 to 795 of the family's 1533-position model. The record is from RNAcentral.
CCUACGGGAGGCAGCAGUAGGGAAUAUUGCUCAAUGGGGGAAAGCCUGAAGCAGCAACGCCGCGUGGGGGAUGAAGGUUUUCGGAUUGGAAACUCCUUUUGUUAGAGAAGAUAAUGACGGUAUCUAACGAAUAAGCACCGGCUAACUACGUGCCAGCAGCCGCCGUACUACGGAGGGUGCAAGCGUUACUCGGAAUAAAUGGGCGUAAAGAGCGCGUAGGCGGGAUAGCAAGUCAGAUGUGAAAUCCUAGGGCCUAACCAUAGAACUGCAGUUGAAACUGUUAUUCUAGAGUAGGGGAGAGGUAGGUGGAAUUCUUGGUGUAGGGGUAAAAUCCGUAGAGAUCAAGAGGAAUACUCAUUGCGAAGGCGACCUGCUAGAACAUAACUGACGCUGAUGCGCGAAAGCGUGGGGAGCAAACAGGAUUAGAUACCCUUGUAGUC